GAUAAACGCUGGCGGCGUGCAUAACACAUGCAAGUCGAACGAAGUGGCGAACGGGUGAGUAACACGUGAGUAACCUGCCUUACACAAGGGGAUAGCCUUUGGAAACGAAGAAUAAUACCCUAUAGUGUAAGAUGGACUUGCGUCUGAUUCGCUAGUUGGUGGGAUAAAAGCCUACCAAGGCGACGAGCAGUAGCCGGCUUGAGAUAGUGGACGGCAACAGUGGGACUGAGACAAGGCCCAAACUCGACGGGAGGACGCAGUGGGGAAUUUUGCACAAUGUGGGAAACACGGAGGCAGCGACGCCGCGUGAUUUAGAAGUCCUUCGGGUUGUAAAAAUCUUGUAUAUGGGAUGCAGUACCAUAAGAAUAAGGUCCGGCUAAAUACGUGCCAGCAGCCGCGGUAAUUC
RNAcentral lists this ribosomal RNA (406 nucleotides) under uncultured bacterium. Its description in RNAcentral is "partial 16S ribosomal RNA". It matches the Rfam family "Bacterial small subunit ribosomal RNA", at positions 28 to 526 of the family's 1533-position model. The record is from RNAcentral.